Long non-coding RNA from Brassica napus (rape), 1756 nucleotides. RefSeq lists it as uncharacterized. NCBI's taxonomy places the organism in Eukaryota, Viridiplantae, Streptophyta, Magnoliopsida, Brassicales, Brassicaceae. The record is from RefSeq and is a predicted model, not a curated record. The transcript has 2 exons.
UUGAUGUUCUUCGUAUUAUCAAUAAGCCUACUGCUACUUCUUUGGUUUAUGCUUUUGAAAAGAGAAGCAAUUAAAUAAUUAUUGUCUUUGAUCUUGGUGGUGGUAUCUUUGAUGUCUCUGGUACUUUACAUUAAACUGUUGCUAUAUAUAUAUUAGUUUGAUAAAACGGUUACAGUUUUGUAAACGAAUUUUGAUUUAUAAAAACUCAAUUGCAAUGUAUAAAUGAUAAUUGCAAUGUAUAAAUGAUAAUUAAACAUUUAGAUUAAAUUUAAUAUUUGAACUUAAAUAAUGAACAGUAGAGUUUUAAGAUUUUUAGUUAGAUUUGGGUAUAUGAUUAAUUUGGGGUUUAAACCCUUACCCUAAACAUAAACAUUAAAAUUUCAAUAUUUUCAUAAUAUAAUUUCGAUCUUAAAUUUAAAUUUAAAGUUUAAUAAUUUUAAAAAUAGAAUCUCAAAUUUAAAUUAUAACCCUCAAACAUUAAAUCUUAAACAUUAAAUCUUAGAUCUAUACCCUAAAUAUAAUACCCUAAACCCCAAACUUAAAUCUUACAUACAAAGUCAUAAAUCUAUUUUUUUAAUUUAUAAUAUAAAUCUUAAACUUAGAUUCCAAAUAUAUUCUAAAACUCAAACCAUAUACUUAAUUAUAAAUCUUAACCCUAAACCCUAAACCACAUACUUCAUAUUAACCUACAUCAUAAAUCCUAAUUUACAAAUUUCAAAAAUUUAAAUAUAGGUUUUGGAAUUUAGACUUUGAGUAUAUAUUCCAAACCAUAUACAAUAACUCUAAAUCUUAUACACCAAAUCAUAAAAUCCAAACAUCAAAUUUAACCUUUUCAAAUUUAAACACCAAAACCUAAACAUAGAUACUAAUCAAAAAAUUUCAAAUUGUAUUCUCAAAUUUUACUCUAAACCCCAAACCUAAGACUCCAAAUAAACUUUAAUCAUGAACAUUAACCUUAUAUUUAAAACUUUUAAAUUAGACUAAACUUUUAACUUUAAUCAUAGUCAUUAAUCAAAUCCUAUAUUAUAAAUCUAUUAUUUAAAUUUAAAUUCAUUUGUUUAAACCCCAUAUAAACCCAUUCAUAUUUAAGUGAAUUAGAAGCUUAUUUGAUGACCAAAGAAAAAGAAUUAACGGCUUAAUUCUGAUUGGACCAAAAAGUGAGGCGUGGAUCACCAUUUUUCGAAUCUCUGCCGUUGGUAAUAUUAAUCUUACGGCUCAGAUUAAUUCACUAUUAAUAUUUUAUGUUUGUUUUAUCUCUUUCUUCCUUUCUUCUUCCUCCACACGAUUCUAUACUUCUUAUUUUCUUCUUCUGUACCUCUUCGAUCUCCUCAUCUAAUCUCAUCUCUCUUAUCCUCUUCCCAUCUCUCUUUCUCCUCUGCUCAUCUUUCAUUUACUUUUCUUCUUUCAAGCAAAUGGAUCUGAACGAAGAGGAUUACCACCGUCAUGCUUCUCACCACCAUGCUCCUUUCUAUUCGGUUUCGCCCUUCACCACCACCACCACCGCACGUUCGUCAACACCACCACCAGUCACGAAAGUGGAGGAGGCACAGGAUUGAUGAAUGAGGCACAGGAGAUUGAUGGAGGAGGUAGCAGUGGUGGGUCGUGAGCAGAGCCGGCUUGAAUGUUGAAGACGAAGAAGCUCGGUGAGGAGGCGGCAGGCGGCGGAGAAUAUACAUUAGGUUGAGAUUAGGGUUAGGUAUAUUUUUAAUUUGGUUUAGUAUGCUAAACCGAUUUUAUUUAUUAAUAGUUUGAAUUU